GGGGCAGGGGUGCGUGCCUGCUUAGGUUAGAGUUAGGGGAGCGUAUCGGCGGCGGCGGCGGUGGGAGGAGAGCGAGGACGGCGUCCCUAGGCCGGCCGGUGGUCAUGACGUCCGGGAGGUGGCGCCGCGCGGCUCAGCCGCCUUCGGAGGCGAAGGGUCCGCGGGGGAUUGGACGGCGGCUGCUGUCUCCUAGCUAGAGAGGUGGCAUGCGACCUUUGGUAUGACGGAGUCCGACGCGUCAAGGGAGGACAAAUGUUCUCGCCAAAGGGGAGGCUGCAGGUAGCGGGCACGAUGGAGCGGCGGCCGCUCGAAGGGCGGCAGAUGUCGCUUUUACCUUGUAUAUAGUUAGAACAUUACCUACAAGCCCUACGAAAACUCCCUUUACUAAACCACUUUAUAACUAACGCUCCCAAACCUUGGUUCACUGUCGUUUUUUUUACUUCGUUUCGACUUCCUAGAACAAGGAACACAAGAGGACAGUUAACUGUUACUCGUCUAUAAUUAGAUGUCUCCGUCACUUACCUUGAGAUCUAUGAGUCGGAGGGUGAUAGUGAGGUUUUCAAGUUUUCUUAUUAGACCGUCACAGUUGACGAAACUCAUUGAGUCCUACCCACCAAUCUUCUCGACCUUCCCUUCCGCGUUCUUAUACUGUUCUUCCUACAACGUGUUGUUCUCUUCUAUUUCCUCGAGAUCUAACAACAUCUCUUCUAAUAGUCAAAAAUGACCGCCGGCAAUCUUCGACAUAUCUUCUACUACGUAAAAAUAAUCUAAGUUCACUCUAAUAAGUCUAAACGUAAUUUUUCGACAUAUCUUCAACUACGUAAAAAUAAUCUAAGUUCACUCUAAUAAGUCUGAACGUAUUUUUCACGGCUCCUAGCACGUUUCGAUUUAAUAGAAACAACAACGACGAAUAGGAACUCCUUCGAACACCAAUUCUUGACCU
Molecule: ribosomal RNA, 943 nt
Filed under: Triticum aestivum (bread wheat)
Lineage: Eukaryota; Viridiplantae; Streptophyta; Magnoliopsida; Poales; Poaceae
Description: partial small subunit ribosomal RNA
Source: RNAcentral